RNAcentral lists this long non-coding RNA (528 nucleotides) under Cricetulus griseus (Chinese hamster). RNAcentral's name for it is "lncRNA (ENSCGRG00000025282.1)". The record is from RNAcentral. Lineage: Eukaryota; Metazoa; Chordata; Mammalia; Rodentia; Cricetidae.
GGCAGCUCUGUUGUGGAUGAGGACACAUAAUAAGGUCUGUGGCCUUUUCUCUCAUUUUCUAGUUGCUUCAUCUCUUUAGGAAGAAUGCAGAUGAAACAGAGCAACCCCAUAUGGGCAGGCACCGCAGUAUCCUGCUAUCAAUGGACAAGAGAGAAAAACUCCUGGAUUAUUCUCUAUUCCUUAUGUGGAACUCUACCUGCCGAUGGAAGCCGUGAUACCCAAUCCCCCAUCAUCUCUUAUGAACAUGAACAGCUGAUCUGACAAAUGAUGUCUUACCCACAGGCCUGCAUCCUGAUGUGUAUAUUAUCUGGAUCCCAUCUAAACCUUUUAAUUAAGUAUGUGACCAAGUGAAUUCCCGAGAGUGGGGGGAGGAGAGAGAAGAAGGAGGAUGUAAUCAGUCCCACCUAAAAAGGACAUUUUUUUUGGUGACUUUUAUUUUAUUUGAAAGAUUUGUUUUCCUCGCUCUCUUUUCACUUUAAUGCAUUACAAAUGUAUUUACUAAUUUGGUAUUUGAGUAAAGUCACCCCG